Molecule: long non-coding RNA, 11088 nt
Filed under: Populus tremula
Lineage: Eukaryota; Viridiplantae; Streptophyta; Magnoliopsida; Malpighiales; Salicaceae
Description: long non-coding RNA (PTRE_LNC000408)
Source: RNAcentral
AGAAUGGAUAAUGUUUUUUUCAGGGUGAAAGAGAAAUAUCAUUAUCAACAAGUAAGAGAAGCAGGAGCCGAACCCUGCUUCCAAAGCUUUAUCAUAGCAAAUCCCGUUACUGCACAAACCAUGGAAGCGAGGCUGAGUACUAGCAAGAUUACACACAAAACUGAAAUCUAAAAGUUUAUACUGAUCUUUCUAUUCAAUGCAUUACAGAUACAUAUUUCACAGUACAUUCUCAUAUAUCAUGUCUGUAUCAAUAUUGCUGAUAAAUCAGACAUACAGAAUUCAACUAUAUGUGGGAUCAUCGACAAGACUCCAACUGGAAGUAAAUUUGCAAUUCUCCCCUCCGAUGGAAGAAAUUCAACACAAGACUCUCCCUUUGAGCUUCGACAAGAUAUACACUCUUCACAAUUCUGGCUGCAGCCAAGGUGGCUCCUCUCGGAAUGCUGACGACUAUUGAUCUGAAAAAUGAUCGCCUCUGACCUGCCAAAUAAGAGAGUUGGUCAAAAGCUUUGAUAAAAAAAAAAAAAGGUAUUCUAAACGAGUCUCAGCUACCAUAAAUCCCAAAGUCUUCGCAACCUAGGUUGUGCAUGAGGCAGGGUAGGAAAUUUUUUAUGAAACCAAACAAAAAGCAUGGAACAAUUUUAAUCUGUUCAGUUUAAUCCAAUCCUCACACACGGAAAAAGAAACAAGAUCGCAUCCAAGAACCAUAGAUGAAAACAUAUCCGAGAAUUAUAAAUGAAGAGGUGGUCAGACAUGAGAUAUUGGAGGAAAUUAAACAGUAAGAAGAGAACAAAGCAAUCUUGUUUAAUUCCCUCCAAUCCUCACAUUCGGCCAAGACAUGAUAUUCGUUUAGUUGCAUGGAGAAGAAUCAAGUAAAAGAAACUAAACAAAAACGGGCACCAAAACAAACAGUGACAUCUCUUUAGUUCCCUCCAAUUUUCACACACAACAUACACUCUUGACUUUGAGGCUUCAACAGGCUUUGCCUUUACCACAGGCUUUGUCUCGAACCAACCACAGGAUAUUUAUAGACUCUCUAAACUCCAAAGGAACAAGACAAACUAACUUCACAAUUUUCACACGAGCAUGAUUCGCAUGCUCAAAAGCAGUUACAAAUACUGUGUGCAUGUUUGUACGGUUCAGAGCAUUUGAAUUCUCCCUGUAUAUGUGUGGCCCACUCACCAGGAACACAGCCCAUAUUAGAGCCCAGAUAAAUGACUACAAAGACCAGCCCAUAUUAGAGCCCAGAUAAAUGACUACAAAGGCCAGCCCAAGAUACCUUCCCAGCUCUUUAAAUCUUCAUAGAAGAUUAUUGAUAUCUCGAAUAUGCGAAGGCAUCUUGUGCAUAUCAUACAAACCCAACACAAUUCAGGUUUACAUCUUCAUAGUAACGUUUGAAUGAAAGUUCUUCGCUUGUCCCUCGCAGGAAUUCCCAGUGAGUUAAAUGACGAAGAUUCAAAGUUCGUUCCUCUAAAUGAAAAUGCUAAUGACUCAACAAACGAUACAUAUUUACUUCACUUCCAAAGGAAUAUUUUCCUGAACCAUGUAAGCAGCUGCAAUUGCUAUAAAAUAUUUUCAAGCUCUGUACAAGCAACAAAAGGUCGUGGGCACAGGUGAAAAAAUCUAGGAAGUCUUUAUACUGAUCUUCGCACUCCAUGAGUUACAAAUACAUAUUUCUUGACAAAAAAAAAAAGAGUAAAAAAACAAAUUUACUUCUAUCUCACAGUCAAUUCUCAUGUUUAACGUGACAAGUACAUAUUUCUUGGUUUCCUCUCUAGGCUUCAGCUCUUCUAACUUUGCAGCAAGAACGAACCACCCCCAACCUCUUGCCAGACAAGAAAGUUGGUAGAAAGCUCUAAGCAAAGAGCAGAAACCAUCAAUUCUCAUGUAUUUAAUAGCAGUCACAAAAAAAGGGGGAAGCUUUUUCUCCCGGCCAGCUAAAUGUCUUGGAAACUAAUGUUAUCAAAAUGAACAUCUAUCCAUGGAAUAUCAAGCGAGCGAAUGUCACAGCUGAUUCACCAGCAUUUCCCUCACAAUCCAAGAACAUCAAUCUCAAAACUAGUUUCAGUAACACUAACCAGCAUAAAGAUGCUCCUCCAUCAAAAAAACAGAACACAACUGUAAUCCACAAGUCAUAACGAAAAAACCUAAGACGCAACACAUGCCAUAUCAAUCAUAGAUGAACAAAUCGAAUCCUCUGUUUUUCACUAACACUAGCCAGUGUUCUUUUUAAACUCUGAGAAGAUAAUCUCCAGUAUCAGUAAUAACAUGCUAUAACCUCCUUCCCUCCCUCACCAAAACACAGUAACUGAAACAAAAAAACAGGAAGAUUACAUAUUAAUCAAACAUCAAAUCAAUUACACAAUCCAACAAACACCCAAUCUUCCAUUAAAACAAAUUAACAUAACCGAAAAACCCAAACUCAAACAAAGCAAAACAUGCCAAUCAUCAAAAGAACUGUACAACCAACUUAAAUGCAAACUCGAGCAAACCAAAACAAGCCCUAAUGACCAGAAGGAAGAGCAACACAUUCACUAAACAUCACAUCAAAAAUAUAUAGACAAAUCUUAGAAACUCAAAACUUAUUCCAAAUUUUUUCACCAACAUGAUCAAAACUCAUACUUUAAUAACAAGAAAAUCAACAUUACCUCCAAAAAGAAUCCCAGAAAUCACUCCUCUUCAUCACUCUCAUCACUGAAGUAACUAGCUUUCUUAACCUUCACCUUCUUUUUCUCCACCUCUCCCGCCUUCAACAACCUCUCCUCCACCCCUCCAUCCACCGCCGCAGCCCACUUCUCCUCCUCAAACUCACCCUCUUCUUCCUCCUCCUCCCAAUCUCCCCCGCCCCUUCCGCCGCCGCCGCCUCCACCACCGCCUCCCCUCCCUCUCUUCACCACAGGCCUCUCUCUAAUCCCCAAUCGAUUCCUCGGACACUCAUAACUCAAAUGUCCAUCUUCUCCACACUCAUAACACUUACUCUUAUCCUUAUAAACCCUCUUCUUAAUAAACUCCGCCGCUCUACCAUUAUCUGCCGCAAUCGACGCCGACAGAGUUCUCCCGUUGAGAAUCUUCUUGUCCAUCUGUUCAACGGCGGUGACCGCAUCGCUGCGAGAUACGAAUUGGAUGAAUGCGACGCCGCGCGAUUUCCGUGUCGUUCGGUCUUUUAAGACGGUUACACGUGCUACUUUGCCGAAGGUGGAGAAGAGUGUGUGGAGGUCUGAGUUUGUAAGGGCGAAGUCCAAAUUGGAUACGUACAGGGUUGAUUUUGAUGGUGCUAAACCGCCGGAUCUGCCAUGGGGUUUGGUGGAGGAAGGAGGGUGUUGUGAUGACGUGGUGGCGGAGGGGUAGCGGUGGUAAAAUAUUUCGUCUUCGUCACUGUCACUGUUGUGUUUUUGCUUCUUCUCCAUUUUUUUGACUUCCUAGCUGUUGUUAGUUUUUUCUUUUUUUGCUUUUGCCCUGUUGGUCUCGAGAAAUAUAUACUUUGCCUGGAGUGGGCUUUUUCUUGGAUUGUAAAUAUGAAAUCUACCCUACAAACUAAAAAAAAGUUGUCAAUACAUAUGAUAAAACACUUGUAUUAUACUUACUUCUACAAAAACACCAUGAAAUAAAUAAAUAAAUAAUUUACUACUUUGUUAAGAGAAAUGGGCAACCCAUCAAAAAUUCCAAUCUUAUCCUUUUGCUUUAACAACAGUUUUACACCUUACUCAUACCAGCAAGGCCCUUUAUUUUACUUUUGACUUUUGAUAAAGACUCAAUCCCUAAACCAGAUAUAUAUUAAUAAAAGAAAAGGAAAAAAAAUUAUUCAGCUAUCAUGCAAUUUUCUUUGACACAGUCAAAAUCUAACACUGCUAUUAUUUCCUAACCCGUAGAUGCAAUGAUCAACAAGGUUACUGAUACCCAAUAACUUGUACAGUAAUUAAUUUGAAACAUUACACACACAUGACGGCAUAAAGAAACAAGAGUUUAAUUUUUCUGAGUUGUUGAUGGAUAGGUUUAUCUUGUCACUCAUCAUGUUUUUUAAAAAAAAUUAAAGUAUAUCUUGUUUUGUUACUUUCUUCCUUUUCUUUUUGUUACUCAUCAUGUUUUUCUAAUAUUUUAUUAUGGAGGCAGAACUAAGAAUUUUAGGGGGGGUAUUGUUUUUUAUACAUAAAAAAAAUUAUAAAAGUGAAUUAAUUACUUUCACAUUUUCAAACCCUAAAAAACUUAAUUUAAUUUAAUUUACUAACACCCAUCCAAACCCCAACACAAAAAUUAUAAGAUAAAAUUCAUAAACACGAUGAAUAAGAAAUAUCUUAAGUUAUUGUUUGGUUGUGUAAUUACAUAUAACAAUAGCUUUUCUCCUUUGCGUGGUACUAUAUAAAAAAUUAAAGCGCUAACUAACAUAUAGCUGGAGAGAUACUCGUAGGGGAAAAAAAUAUCAUCCAGUAAUUUGUUUUCCUUUUGUAAUGGUCAACAAAUUUUUGGGGUAAGCUUGCAUUUCUAGUUUUUUUUUUUUUAGGGGGAUUUUUCAUUUUAUACAUUUCAACCACGCUUGAAUUUUUGCAUUCAGAGGACUUUUUCUCGUAUUUCUUUUGGAUUCAAAUCAAAUUAAUAACUCAAGAAACCAAAUGCAAUUAACUCUAAAACUUUUUUUAAGUACGAUAUAAUAGCAUUCAAAUCUUGUAAUUGCUAGCUCAAUUUAUUUGUUUGAAAUGUUAUGACCAAAAUAUGACUCAAAUUUCAGACUAGCUAUUGAAUUUGUUUCCAAAAAAAAAAAUCAAUUCAAUUGUAAAAUUAAAUAAAAAAUUAAAAUAUCUUAUUUAUUUUUGUAAUAUAUAUUUAUCAUUACAAGUUUAAUAUCAUUUUAAUAUUUGUCUAGAUAAUAAACUAGUGGUAUUCAAUUAUAUUAUUAUCAUCUCAAUGAAUUAUAAAAGAGUUUAUAAUGAUAAAAAAAUUUAAUUAAUAAUCUAGUAUUUUUUCGAGUAGUUUAAAUUAUCAAUCUUCAUAUAUAAAAAAGUUAAUUUAAAAAAAUAUUAUUAUGGAAGUAUGAUAAUUAUUAUUUUAAAAUAUUUUUUAAAAAUAUACUUAUUUUGAAAUAACAUUAAAUUAACAUGUUUUUGUCAAAGAAACAUAAAACUCUUGUUUUUUUAUGCCAUUAGCAGUGGUAAUAAACAGAAAGAUUGAUUAUCUGUUUUCAUUUUUACAUACGCCUUGCAAGAAAUAAAACACCAAAAGGUUCAAAUCUUCUGCAUAUUUUAAGCAAAGCUGCCAUCUGGCCUGGAUCAUCUUUUAAUCUACAAGAAAAGUUGGAAAGAUUGAGUUUCACCUAGCAAGUACCUGAAAUUGUAAUUGUUUUUCGCUUUCUUAGUCUUCAUGUAAGUGAUUUUCCUUCUUCCUUUUUGUUGCGAUGUGUUAUAAUUCGAUGUUAUGAGAACUGAUUUUUUCUUUUUUUGUGAUUUUCUUAAGUGGACUAGGAUUUAAAUGCCUUAUAUUUGGUUUAAAUUUGAUUUUCUUAUUGUCUGUGCACUGUUUCCUAGAAAAUGUUGUCUGGAAACUGUUCACUGAGAUGAUCAUGGGAUUUUAUUUUCUCAACUGAGAAUGAAUUGUAAUAUGCAAUUGAAUGCUAGGAAAACAUCAACUCUGCAGAAAUAAGUAAAUUAUUUGAUAAAGUAGUUGUUAAAUGGGAUGGGAAAAAAUUAAGUGAAGCGAGGGGGGAAGCAAUUGGAAAAUUGAUCUUCGAUGGUUAAAGAAUAUGUUAGAGAACAAUUUGCUAUUAUUGUAUAAUUUGUAUUAGUAGAUACUUAUUAUAAAGAUCAGCCAUUAAGUUGCGAAGAAUAUAAUGCAAAAGUGAAUUUUGGAAAUCUCUCUUAAGGUAGAACUUGCUGAUAAACUUUUACUUGUUUUGGUUUAUUUUUAGCUAAUAAUAAGAGUCAAAUUAUGUUGUCUGCAAGUCUUUAACUUUGACUUUAACAUACUAAUCCUUAGAAACUAAGUAAUAAUAAUCAACAAAUGUUAUACACAUACAUACAUGUGUGUGUGUGUAAUGUUUCAAAUUAAUUAUUGUAUAAGUUAUUGGGUAUCAGUAGCCUUGUUGAGCAUUGCAUUUACGGGUUAGGAAAUAAUAGCAGUGUUUGAUUUUGACUGUCAGAGAAAAUUGCAUGAUAGCUGAAUAAUUUUUUACUUUUCCUUUUAUUAAUAUCUAUCUGUUUUAGGGAUUGAGUCUUUAUCAAGAGCCAAAAGUAAAACAAAGGGCCUUGCUGGUAUGAGCAAGGUGUAAAACUGUUGUUAAAACAAAAGGAUUAAGAUUGAAAUUUUUGAUGGGUUGCUCAUUCCUCCUGACAAAGCAGUAAAUCGUUUAUUUAUUUAUUUAUUUCGUGGUGUUUUUGUAGAAGUAUAAUGCAAGUGUUUUACCAUGUGCAUUGACAACUUUUCUUCAAUUGGAGUUUUGGUUUGUAGGGUAGAUUUCAUAUUUACAAUCCAAGAAAAAACCCACUCCAGGCAAAGUAUAUAUCGAGACCAACAUGGCAAAAGCAAAAAAAAAAAAAAGAAAAAACUAACAACAACUAGGAAGUCAAAAAAAUGGGGAAGAAGCAAAAACACAACAGUGACAGUGACGAAGAAGAAAUAUUUUACCACCGCUACUCCUCCUCCACCACGUCAUCACAACACCCACCUUCCUCCACCAAACCCCAUGGUGGAUCUGGCGGUUUAGCAUCAUCAAAAUCAACCCUGUACGUAUCCAAUUUGGACUUCUCCCUUACAAACUCAAACCUCUACACACUCUUCUCCACCUUUGGCAAAGUAGCAUGUGUAACCGUCUUAAAAGACCGAACGACACGGAAAUCGCACGGCGUCGCAUUCAUCCAAUUCAUAACUCGCAGCGAUGCAGUCACCGCCGUUGAACAGAUGGACAAGAAGAUUCUCAACGGGAGAACUCUGUUGGCGUCGAUUGCAGCAGAUAAUGGUAGAGCGGCGAAGUUUAUUAAGAAGAGGGUUUAUAAGGAUAAGAGUAAGUGUUAUGAGUGUGGAGAAGAUGGACAUUUGAGUUACGAGUGUCCGAGGAAUCGAUUGGGGAUUAGAGAGAGGCCUGUGGUGAAGAGAGGGAGGGGAGGCGGUGGUGGAGGAGGUGGCAGCGGAAGGGGCGGGGGAGAUUGGGAGGAGGAGGAAGAAGAGGGUGAGUUUGAGGAGGAGAAGUGGGUUGUGGCGGUGGAUGGAGGGGUUGAGGAGAGGUUGUUGAAGGCGGGAGCGGUUGAGAAAAAGAAGGUGAAGGUUAAGAAAGCUAGUUACUUCAAUGAUGAGAGUGAUGAAGAGGAGUGAUUUCUAGGAUUCUUUUUGGAGGUAAUGUUGAUUUUCUUGUUAUUAAAGUAUGAGUUUUGAUCAUGUUGGUGAAAAAAUUUGGAAUAAGUUUUGAGUUCUAAGACUUGACUCUAUAUUUUUGAUGUGAUGUUUAGUGAAUGUGUUCUUCCUUCUGGUCAUUAGGCUUGUUUUGGCUUGCUUGAGUUUGCAUUUAAGUUGGUUGUACAGUUCCUAUGAUGAUUGGCAUGUUUUGCUUUGUUUGAGUUUGGGUUUUUCGGUUAUGUUAAUUUGUUUUAAUGGAAGUUGGGUGUUUGUUGGAUUGUGUAAUUAAUUUGAUGUUUGAUUAAUAUGUAAUCUUCCUGUUUUUUUGUUUCAGUUACCGUGUUUUGGUGAGGGAGGGAAGGAGGUUAUAGCAUGUUAUUACUGAUACUGGAGAUUAUCUUCUUAGAGUUUAAAAAGAACACUGGCUAGUGUUAGUGAAAAACAAAGGAUUCGAUUUGAUCAUCUGUGAUUGAUAUGGCAUUUGUUGCGUCUUAGGUUUUUUUGUUAUGACUUGUGGAUGACAGUUGUGUUUUGUUUUUUUGAUGGAGGAGCUUCUUUAUGCUGGUUAGUGCUACUGAAACUAGUUUUGAGAUUAAUGUUCUUGGAUUGUGAGGGAAAUGCUGGUGAAUCAGCUGUGACAUUUUCUCCCCUGAUAUUCCAUGGAUAGAUGUUCAUUUUGAUAACAUUAGUUUCCAAGACAUUUAGCAGGCGGGGAGAAAAAGUUUCCCCCUUUUUUUGUGAUUGCUAUUAAAUACAUGAGAAUUGAUGGUUUUUGCUCUUUGCUUAGAGCUUUCUACCAACUUUCUUGUCUGGCAAGAGGUUGGGGGUGGUUCGUUCUUGCUGCAAAGUUGGAUAGAUGUUCAUUUUGAUAACAUUAGUUUCCAAGACAUUUAGCAAGCGGGUAGAAAAAGUUUACCCUUUUUUUGCGACUGCUAUUAAAUACAUGAGAAUUGAUGGUUUCUGCUCUUUGCUUAAAGCUUUCUACCAACUUUCUUGUCUGGCAAAAGGUUGGGGGUGGUUCGUUCUUGCUGCAAAGUUGGAGGAGGUGGCGGUGGCGGUGGCGGAAGGGGCAAGGGAGAUUGGGAGGAGGAGGAGGAGGAGGAGGAGGGUGAGUUUGAGGAGGAGAAAUGGGUUGCGGCGGUGGAUGAAGGGGUGGAGAAAAAGAAGGUGAAGGUUAAGAAAGCUAGUUACUUCAGUGAUGAGAGUGAUGAAGAGGAGUGAUUUCUGGGAUUCUUUUUGGAGGUAAUGUUGAUUUUCUUGUUAUUAAAGUGAGUUUUGAUCAUGUUGGUGAAAAAAAUUGGAAUAAGUUUUGAGUUCUAAGAUUUGUCUCUAUAUUUUUUAUGUGAUGUUUAGUGAAUGUGUUGCUCUUCCUUCUGGUCAUUAGGGCUUGUUUUGGUUUGCUUGAGUUUGCAUUUAAGUUGGUUGUACAGUUCAGAUGAUGAUUGCCAUGUUUUGCUUUGUUUGAGUUUAGGUUUUUUGGUUAUGUUAAUUUGUUUUAAUGAAAGAUUGGGUGUUUGUUGGAUUGUGUAAUUGAUUUGAUGUUUGAUUAAUAUGUAAUCUUACUGUAUUUUUUUCAUCAAAGGCUCAUAUCAUCUUUAUUUUAUAAUUACAUGGAAGUUUCAUGUCAACAUAACUCCGUCAACUUCCGAUCUAAUAAUUCUACUCAAGAUUUUGAAUUAUAAAUAUGAAAUCUAUUCUACAAACCAAAACUCCAACUGAACAACAGUUGUCAAUGCACAUGGUAAAACACUUGCAUUAUACUUCUACAAAAACACCACAAAAUAAAUAAAUAAACGACUUACUGCUUUGUCAGGAGGAACGGGCAACCCAUCAAAAAUUCUCAUCUUAAUCCUUUUGCUUUAACAAUAGUUUUCCUAGCUCAUCCAGCAAGGCCCUUUGUUUUUCUUUUGGCUCUUGAUAAAGACUCAAUCCUUAAAACAAAUAGAUAUUAAUAAAAGGAAAAGAAAAAAAUCAUUCAGCUAUCAUGUAAUUUUCUCUGACACAGUCAAAAUCAAACACUGCUAUUAUUUCCUACAAAGUUGUCAAAAACGCUUUUUUGACACAACACGGAAUAUACAAUAUAAACUCGGAUCGUAAACUCAAAUCGUAAAAUCGCAAGUAAAAUAUUUUAACCAAAAUCGUAAAAUCGCAAGUAAAAUAUUUUAUCUAAUUUGCAAGAUCCAAUCAAGUAAUAUAUAAUAAUAUAACACAAUUAAAAUAAAAGUGAAAUUUAACUAAAUUGCAAGAUCUAGUCAUGUGGGUUAAAAUUGCUUCGUUUCUUUCCAGGUCACCGGUCUUUAUUCAGAUUCUAAAGAUGAACAAGUCCAAGUGGAUUGGAUAGAAAGAUGCUCUUAAUUAAUAACAUUUUGUUUUACCUGUUGAUAUAAUUAUGUAAAGCUGCACAUCACAAACUGCCUAACAUCAUCGUUCUAAUUGUUCAGUAAUUUUCAAUAGAAGUUUAGUCCUGAAAGUGUGUGACGGUUUUGCAUGAAACACAUAGCUAAACAACAAAGAAAUAUAAUCAUGAAACAACUGAUAAAAUGGGACCCUCUGAUUGUUUAGGAAUAUAAUCAGUAUCUUUGUUCUGUUUCCCAGUUUUUCAAAUAGCAUAUUGCUGGCUAGGGUCUGCAUCAUAUUUCUUGUUCCUCAGCUCGCCCAAUUAAAUUUUAUGUGAUGAAAGACUGUUGAGAAAUGACUGCUAAUUGGAUCAAAUUUCUGAUUUUUCUAUGCAGUGAUGAACUGGGUCGUUUUGUUGCUACUAAACAUCGCCUAAGAAGCCUUAAGAUGGAAGGGUGUUCUAAUCUGGGGGAAAAAUAUGCUUAUAUGCUUAUAGAGAAGACAACCCUAGCUAGUCAAAACACACACACACUGGUUUGAUUCUAGGUCAGCAGCAGCAGGAGCUUAAAUUGAACACGCAAACUAAAAGCUAUUGCUUUUGCUAUGCUAUGCUAUGUUAUCCAGUUAUCCUAGUGAUCAUCUUAUCAGUGUCAGCUAUAAAAAGGGAUCCAUGCAUCCAGCUGCUAAAAGCUUAUUUUGGAAUCUUUCUACCUUUCUGCUAAAUUACAUAACCCUGAUUAAGAAGGUAUAUACUAAUUAAUUAGAUAGCCAUGUCAGCUGGACUAGUUUCAUAUGAGAUUGUAUUUUGUAAUUAAAUCUUUCAUGCAAGAUUUCUAAAAACUGUUGUUGAAUAUAUGUGAUUGCAGGGAUGAUAACUUUUUCAUAUUCCUAAUUUUCCUCCUUUGUGCUAAACAGAUAAUUCAAUGGAAAGGGAUAAUGGAAUGUAGCAGAACGCAAGUUACUAAUGGGAUUUUUUAAAGAUUAUUUGUCAUAUAAAACAACAGAUAGAGACGAUUAACAACAACAUGUAUUUGCCAGAGAUGCUGGCGUGAUGUUUUACAAAUGAUAGGAGUCAUAUGACCAUUAACAACAACAACACUGUAUACAGCCAGAAAAAAAACAUGCCCUCUUCUGCAUAAUAAAAUGACAGAAAAGAUGAGAAUCUAACAAGCAAACCUGGUUAUAUAUUUGCGCUGCUAGUUAGUGGAGAGUCGAGACUUGAGAUUCUACGCUCCUGAAUGUGCUGAAUGCUGAUAUUAAUUUGUUAGGGCUGAGACUUGAGAUUUUGAGAAUUUGAGAUUUGGGGAAACCAGGAAAGGGGAAAGGGAAAAGGAGAAAAGGGUGGGUGGAGUGUCGGUGUCGGGCGCAAUGAAAUCAGGAGAUGGAGUGGAGUCAGCAGACUUUUAAUUUUCUAAGCAAACUCGUGCAAUCGGUCCG